CACAUGUUCAACAUUGUCUCUGCCCAUUACAAAGCUGUCCAAGAGAUGCAACCGUGGUAUUGUCUUGAAAUUGCUGGAGCCAAUGCAUGUACAUAUACAUACUUCCUUAAGCUUGAGCUGUCAAAGAAGAAAAGUUAAAGGAAAUGACCUUCUCAUCCAUCAAAUACUUGACAGGAAUGCUUUCAAUGAUGACGGGAUAGGUGUGGAGAGUGGUCCCUACCCUAUCAGCUGCUGGUUUUGAUGAUGACGGGAUAGGUGGUUAGGUUUAGAAAUGGCCUAGAAGAAAAUGCGUUAUUGGCGCUUGCUUGCUUCAUACGGUAGCAGAAACAGUGGGGUGAUUUUACAUGGUUUUUUCUUUUUGUAUCCCGAGUGGUUGGUUUUAGCAAUUGUGAUCAAGGUCUUAAAUAUCGAUAUUAUUCCCG
Non-coding RNA from Prunus avium (sweet cherry), 422 nucleotides. Lineage: Eukaryota; Viridiplantae; Streptophyta; Magnoliopsida; Rosales; Rosaceae. The record is from RefSeq and is a predicted model, not a curated record.